AUAAUGUUGCGAUUUUUGCAUGCCACAUACGUUUUAAAAGAAGUGGGUUAUUAAUUGUACGAUGGCGUUUUAUUUAUCAACAAAUUGCUAUGUAUGGUUCUUUUCAUUCUGGAAACACUUUCUCGGUCAGUAUCACAAAAAAUUGUGUUGAAUCCCCGGGUAUAGUGUCAUUCGCCCUGACACUAACAGCUGUCAACAAAAUGUAUUUAUUAAAUACACUAUACUUGUUAAUUGUGUGUAUCGAAAUGGCUAAUGGAAAAAAGUGAGCCCCCUCCCCAGACAAAUUUUCUGGAUUCAACACCGGUAAGAAAAUUGCAAAUUAUUCACGCCAUACUUUGAAAUGUGUGAAUGUGUUCGCCCGGUAGUACUUAAAUCUGUACAAAAAUGUUUAAAAAACAAACUGAAUUUUUCAAAAAUUAAAAAAAAAAAAAUGAAAACAUGCUACAAAUGUGACGAUAAAUAGGUUUUAUUUUAAUACAUUUAAUUUAACGAUUAAUAUAAAAUAAACCGCUGAUAUUUGAUUUUACGAUUAUUGCUACGAAACCAAUGUGAACGAAUACCUUUGCUAUUAGUAAAAAAAAAAAAAAACAAAACGGUUCU
Molecule: non-coding RNA, 600 nt
Organism: Cinara cedri
Lineage: Eukaryota; Metazoa; Arthropoda; Insecta; Hemiptera; Aphididae
Source: the annotation of a GenBank genome assembly